This 870-nucleotide long non-coding RNA is filed under the name Olea europaea subsp. europaea. The record is from RNAcentral. Lineage: Eukaryota; Viridiplantae; Streptophyta; Magnoliopsida; Lamiales; Oleaceae.
GUAGAAAGAAAAAAAAAUAAAAAUGUCUAUGCUCUAGCAAGGAGGAAUCUGAAACAAAUACCUUCAGUAGCAAGGAGGAAUUUUGUCUUGUCUACUUGAGCUUAGACGAAAAGAGAGAAGCAAUCAAAUUUUUCCUUCUUACUUUUCCGAAACUGUUAACUUACUGCAAUUCAGGAACCAAAGUAGAUUCUGAAUAAUAACUCUUCUAGUGUUUCUUCAAUAUUGUCAAGGAGAGAGAAAAUUAAGACAUCUGAGCAAAAUACCAUUUCAAGGUCAAUCUCCGUAAAAUAGCCAAUACAAACUAUCUGCAACCCAUCAUAAAAUCUCAGGCUUUGCAAAAGUCUCAACACCCUUCCCUCCCUUGAACUCUAAAAUCAAAAUAAGUUUGUUUUCCAUAAUCCCUUAAUGACUUCUUGCCCCAUAGUUGGAAUUUAACAGAACUGGAGUUUCUGCUCGAUGAGCACCAUAUUUAUACUUGAAUAUAUCAAUUAAUGAAGAGGGUGGUUCAAUUCCUGUUAAUGUCAAGAUCAAUUGAUAGUCUAGAGAGCAUAUACAUUUGUUCUUCAUCAAGCAUAUAAGAUCCAGAUUUCGCUAAAUACCCUUCAACUUUCAUCAAUGCAUUUAAUCUUUUCAAGAGUGCGAGUAUUUCACCAGAAUUAGGACGAGAUUUAUGACCUCCAACUAUAUCCAGGAAACUUUUUAACUCCUCUUUCUUGCAUUUUUGUCCUCACUGAAUUAACCCCCUCCCAGUUGCCUGAUUCCGCAUAUAUAUUGGAAAGCAGCACAUAUGGAGAAGAAUUUUGUGGUUGCAACUGAAUAAGCUUUUCUGCUGCAUACUGCCCUCUUACGUCAUCCCCGUGCAAUCUGCAU